This 333-nucleotide unclassified non-coding RNA is filed under the name soil metagenome. Its description in RNAcentral is "partial contains 5.8S ribosomal RNA, internal transcribed spacer 2, and large subunit ribosomal RNA". The stretch from base 1 to 120 matches the Rfam family "5.8S ribosomal RNA", at positions 35 to 154 of the family's 154-position model. The record is from RNAcentral.
GAUGAAGAACGCAGCGAAAUGCGAUAAGUAAUGUGAAUUGCAGAAUCCAGUGAAUCAUCGAAUCUUUGAACGCACAUUGCGCCCGCCAGUAUUCUGGCGGGCAUGCCUGUCCGAGCGUCAUUUCAACCAUCAAGCCCCAGGCUUGUGUUGGGGACCUGCGUCCGACGCAGGCCCUGAAAACCAGUGGCGGGCUCGCUGUCCACACCGAGCGUAGUAACUAACCUCGCUACGGGAGCGGCGCGGGCGCCUGCCGUAAAACCCCCAAUUUUCACAAGGUUGACCUCGGAUCAGGUAGGAAUACCCGCUGAACUUAAGCAUAUCAUAAGCGGAGGA